RNAcentral lists this unclassified non-coding RNA (252 nucleotides) under uncultured Russula. RNAcentral's name for it is "sequence contains ITS2". Lineage: Eukaryota; Fungi; Basidiomycota; Agaricomycetes; Russulales; Russulaceae. The record is from RNAcentral.
AAUCCUCAAAACCCCUUUUCUUUCAUCGGAAUCGGGAUUUUGGACUUGGAGGUUCAAUGCUCGCUUUCUUGAGCGAAAGCGAGCUCCUCUUAAACGAAUUAGUGGGGUCCGCUUUGUCGAUCCUUGACGUGAUAAGAUGUUUCUACGUUUUGGACUUGGCACUGUUUUCUCCGCUUCUAACCGUCCCAUGGACAACGAUGGUGCUCCGGUCCUCGUCAUCUACUUGGCGGGAGGCUGGACCCACAAAACAAA